UUACUGAGCACUUUCCAGUAUUGAUGAAGUAGCAUCUCAAAACCACUGAUUAUUAUUAUUUUUUUUUACCUUGAGCACAAAACUUUAAAUGAAACAGUUUUUGAAUAAAUCAUUCAUAUAAGAUAUGAUUGUUAGGGCCUAGCAUUUUGGGGUACUUCUUGCACUAUGCCAGUAGGAAGAUUCUCACAGUCUUAACCUGGAUUCCUAUUCGUUUAGUCAACUUUUAAAGCAGAACAUUUUGUCAGCUUAAGAUAGAAUGAAGUAUUUGAAAUACAUUCCAUUCCGUGUUUUUUUCUAUAGAAUGAAUUAUUUGGGGAAAGGUCUUGAGUUCUAUUCAUUCAUCUUUCCGUCACUUAUUAAGCAGAAGACACGACAGUGGAUAAGUUCAGGAGAUUGUUAGGAGGAUUGGGUGAAUGAUUUUGGGUUUGUGUUAUCGCUCCUUUCUCUGGGGUAAGAAACAAACCCUUGGAAACAGUUAUAGAUAAUGACCUGGAUGGAGGAGGAAGAUGAGACUAUUUCUGAUAUUUUGGUUUUGGGGAUGCCUAUGGAAUAAUUAAAAAUAGAUUCCCCAGAAUAUCUGGACUAUUUCAAUCCUUAUCUGAUGUUUAGGAGGGAGAUGUGGUCUGGUAAUACUGAUUGGGAGGGGUUCAGCCUAUGAAUAGUAUUAUUGAAAGUCUGAAGAGGAGAAUGGCAAGAAAGGAGGAGUCAGGGGAGAAGAAAAGAAGGGGGACAAUGCAGGCAGGUACAACUCUGGCAUUUAAAGGAUGGAGAAAGGAAACGGAGACUCAGGAAGGGAAGGUGCCUGACAAGCAACAGCUGGAGAGAGGUGGGGGAAAACGGGAGAGGGCGUGGGCUCCUGGACCCACACUCCACUGGUUUCCUUCCACUUGCCUAACUACUUCUCUGUCCCGUAUUUUCAAUGGUUUAAGCAGACAUUUGUCAAAGAAAAUGAGGACAGACUUCAGUGGAAUUCUUUUUUAUUUUUUUUAAAAAAAUGAAUAAUUUUUUAUUAUGGAAACCUUCAAGCAUAUGAGGAAGAAGAAGAUAGGAUAACAUGAUAAAUGCCCAUGAACCCAUGAUCCAGCCACAAUAAUCACCAUCAUGUUUGCAUUCUUGUGAGUCCUCUUAUUUUUUAAUGUUAGGGCCUAUUACAGGGCCUGGUUCAUUGGAAGCAGUUAGUAAAUAUUUGUAGAGUAAAUAAAUGAAUAAAUACAAAGGAAUCAACAGCGUGUGUUACACUAUUUAGGGAUGCAAAGGAAAAGCACAAGGCUCAGGGCCACUUCAGAGAGUCUGUAGUCUGGUUGACUGGCGCGUUUGUGAAGUCACAAGACGCAGGUCAGACAAGCAAGGGGUGUAGGUUCUAUUGCUGCUGUCACAGAUCCAGGGACAUUUGUCCAUACACUCCUCGUUCCAACGACAAGCCUGGGGCACUUGGAAGCAGCACCAUCUGAGCUGCAUUUGAAUUCUCACUCCGCCUUUACCCUGCUGUGAGGUUUUGGAUUAAAUUUUGAAAGUGAAAUGAUGUCUGUGAAGAAAUAUAGUUAAAGAAUUGAAGCCUUCCCCAAAGAAAAGCUGUACCAAGGAUGGCUAAUGGGACGGUUGGUUUCGUGUGUCAAUUUGAGGCUGGCCUACGGUGUCAGAGAAGACCUGGCUAGAGGAAGACAUUUGUUGCUCCUGAAAUUGAAACAAACCUGCAUUACGGCCAAGCACCUACCUCAGGGCCUGAGAUAAGGCCAUUAACAUAAACAUCGGAUAUUACUUGAUUUCUGAGGAUUUUCAAAAUUGAAUUUCAAAACCAGAAUGCAUAAUAAAGCUGAGCAGUGUCCCACUCAUUAAAAGCAAAACACAGUGUAUUUGCAUUUGGGCUUGUUUGCUUGCUUAUUUACUAACUUGUUGUUUUUUCUUUUUUGGGGGGGUGUGUUUGGGGGCUUUUAGCAGCCUAAGAAAAAUUGACAAGGAACGGUUCAGUCAAUCCUGGUUAGUGUUAUGUCCAAGGAUAAAACAUUUCUACCUAUUUGUUUAUAAUCACUUAGGGAUAUUUCACGAGACGUUUCCAGAAGUGUAAUUGCCCAGUGAAAGUGUAUGGACUUUCUAAAUGAACUUCUUUGGUACUCAAACAGUGUGUUGGUUUUUUUUUGUUUUUUUGUUUUUUUG
Microcebus murinus (gray mouse lemur) is the source of this 2154-nucleotide non-coding RNA. Lineage: Eukaryota; Metazoa; Chordata; Mammalia; Primates; Cheirogaleidae. The record is from RefSeq and is a predicted model, not a curated record.